GACGAACCGUCCUAACGUUAUUCGGAAUCACUGGGCUUAAAGGGCGCGUAGGCGGAUCCGAAAGUCAGGGGUGAAAUCCCACGGCUCAACCGUGGAAGAGCCUUUGAUACUGCGGGUCUAGAGGGACAUAGGGGCGUGCGGAACUUCCGGUGGAGCGGUGAAAUGCGUAGAUAUCGGAAGGAACACCGGUGGCGAAAGCGGCACGCUGGAUGUCUACUGACGCUGAGGCGCGAAAGCCAGGGGAGCAAACGGG
Molecule: ribosomal RNA, 253 nt
Filed under: uncultured bacterium
Lineage: Bacteria
Description: partial 16S ribosomal RNA
Rfam family: Bacterial small subunit ribosomal RNA
Source: RNAcentral